RNAcentral lists this long non-coding RNA (2186 nucleotides) under Mus pahari (shrew mouse). RNAcentral's name for it is "lncRNA (MGP_PahariEiJ_G0005132.1)". Lineage: Eukaryota; Metazoa; Chordata; Mammalia; Rodentia; Muridae. The record is from RNAcentral.
GUGCACUCAGUCUUCAGGAGGAGGCAUCCCCUGUGGUUGCAGAACUUCCGCUAUCCUUGGUUGCCCAGGAUAAACUGGUGGAAUCAUGACUCAUUUUUGUCAUUGGGACCACAGGAGGAGGGGUCAGAAGAUAGUGAAAUGUUCAGUGAGCACUCACAUUUCGUUAGAUGCACUGUCUCUGAACCCGAGAACUUACUCAGAACUUCAGGAUGGGAGCGUGCAGUCACCAAGUGUUAAGUCGAAGAUUCCGGACUGUUUAGGCUGUGCCUUGGGAAAUCAUUGGCUCUGUGAAAUUGUCCAAGGCUAGCUUGAUAAACCUCUGGAAGCACAGAAGAACAGUUUGGAGAGGAGUCUAUGCAUCUCUAUCUACAGCUAAAGCACCAUAGGCUACCUCUCAGAAAUGUAAGUUUUAGUGAUUUCAUCCUGUCAAAAAUUGCGUAUUUCAAAACAUUAGAAAGUUGACUUGCACAAAUAUAAAAUAAGCAUGGAUCAGGAUGCUUCACCUUGUGCUCCAUAAGUUACUCAUCUGAUAUUACAUUGGAAGCAGAAGAAAUUCCCAGCAAAGUGACCUAUGUUGCAAGACUCAAAGGAGGGAUAGAGAGUGGGAGUUGGCUCAGCUGGUGAAGAGCUUGCUGAACAUAAAGACCUGAGCUUGGAUCUCCCAACAUCCUUGUGAAGGGAUAGGCAUAGCCCCUGAAUCUUCAGAGCUGUGAUGAUGGAAGCAAUGGAUCCUCAGAGCUUGCUGGUCAGUCAACCUGCUUGAGUUCAGCUCUAGAUUCUGUGUGACCCUGACUCAAAAACUAAGGUGUGGAGUGACUGAGGAAGGGAUCUGAUGUCAACCACUUGUUCCCAUUUACACACACACACACACACACACACACACACACACACACACACACUCACUUAAAUACAAAUUAAAUUAUUUGUUGAAAAUGAUAAAAAGAUGAACGUCAUGCAGUUAGAAGUGGCAGUUAGCAAGGGACUUGCCUUGUGCUGCUGUUUUAUCAACGUUUCUGAUUCCUUUAACAUAGCAAGUGGCAGUCUGAUGUUCCUGGGAGCUGGUCUCCAGUCACAAAUCCAAGUUCCUUUUCUCCCUAUUUUGUUCAGGUUCUGCCAUUGUCUUGAGCAUGCUCCUUUGUGCUUACUAAAGCUGUGCUAUGUUGAGGAGUCACCUGCUUGUUCCUUGUUCUUCAGUGGACUGAGUGAUGGACCCCUCCCUCUUGACAGUAGAUCUGUGAGAAAUCUUACACCACUGGGACCUUAUUUGGGCUUAGAGAUUUGCUGACGUAGUUGAGUCUUGGGAGCAUAAUACAAUGGUUAAUUUGGUUGUUGACUUAUUAGGAUCUGAAAUCACUUAGGAGAUAAACUUCUGGGUCUAUCUGUGAGGAAGUUUCUAGAUAGAGUUAAUUAGGAUUAGAAGACUCAGUCUGACUGUGGAUUGUGGAGAAUUUUAGGACACAUUGCUAAAAAUGUCUCCUGAGAACCCGGUCUUCCUCUUAAAACAUGAAUGAAGAUCUCUUUCUUAGGGUUGUCUGGCCAACUCUUCACACAUUUCCUUGUACAUCAUUCUGCCAUUUGUGAGCAUGGGAGCUUGCACUCACUGUCCUCCAGUGCCUGGGCCACCUUCCUGCUUCAGUUGCUCAUCUUCUUGAGCAGUCUAGAGUUGUGCAAUCCCGAGAAUCUUAAGGACACAGCCUUUAGAUUAGUGCAUCAUCUGGUAGAGAAGAGGCCACCAAGGGGCAGGAGACACAGGGAACCAUCCUUGUGGCAGGUGGUGAUCAGAGAGAGAAAGCAGAGCUAACGGUGGAAGAUUUGAGAUACGUAAUUAGUAAUGAUAGGUUUUUUUUGCACAAAUUAUGAGACUCUGCUUCUUUUCUAUUUUUGAAAGAGAUUAUCAUUACGUAGCUCGACUAGCCUGGACCUUCCCAUGCAGACCAAGCUGGUCUUGGACGCAGAGAUUGGCCUGAUUCUGCUGGGACAAAGGCCACUAAACCUGGCGACAGUGAAAACUUUAUGCAUAAAAUCUAAGGUUGCUCCCUUGGGCAUCCUUAAUUUUUUCCUUCUACACAGGAACAAUAUUUAGCAAGCACACAACACUCACAAUAUACUUAAUACAGUUCUAUGUGUUCUGUAAAUAACUUGCUUAGUUUCCAGGCAAGGGGUAUUGUCACUGUCCACAUCGUACU